Molecule: long non-coding RNA, 1639 nt
Organism: Cucurbita maxima (winter squash)
Lineage: Eukaryota; Viridiplantae; Streptophyta; Magnoliopsida; Cucurbitales; Cucurbitaceae
Exons: 4
Source: RefSeq, a predicted model, not a curated record
CUCACCAAUUGAGAUUCGAAGAGUAAAAUUCUUGUGCUCUGUUCGUUCUCUUCCUCGCCAUGGAAAUCGACUCACAGAAGAUUCUCCAGCGCAAGCAAUGUCCCUAUGAUCUAUCGCUUGGCUACUUUGGAAUUGCGAAGAAUUUUCCUUCGCUAUUUGCUCAUUUCAUUUGCUUCACUUUUUGAGUAAACGUUGAUCGAGAAGGCUGGAAAAAUGGCGGAACUGGGAGAAAUCUCCCCGAUAUUUGUGUUUUGAUGUAGGAUGAACCGUACAAGGGCCAGUAAUACAGUCACAUUUACUUUGCUCGACUCCACUUGAUGAAAACGAUACUCAGUUCACUUGUCUCUAACUGGAAACCUCAUUUACCUGGUGAAAAUUUGUCUUGAAAACAAUGUCUUGAAGUUUGUACUGUACCGGGAUUGGAGGAAGGCAAGGAAGUGUCAUUGUUGGAACCUGAAACUUAAACCUACCAUUCUGGAUGAGUUUCCAAAGGAGCUUAACUUGAGAAAUCUUGAUUGCCAUGCUCUGAGUUUUGGGACUGAAUUCAUAUGAUGACGUGCGAUCCCACAUCGGUUGAGGGAGAACGAAAUAUUCUUUAUAAGGGUGUCGGAACUUCUCCCUAGCAGAUGUGUUUUAAAAACCUUGAGAGAAAGCAUGAAAGGAUGGUGGGCUUUGGCGGUUACAAAUGGUAUUAGAGCCAGACAUUGAGCGAUGUGCGGCUGAGCUCCGAAGGGAGGUGGACACAAGGCGGUGUGCCAGCAAAGACGCUGGGCUCCGAAGGGGGGUAGAUUGGAUGGUUCCACAUCGAUUGGAGAAGGGAACGAGUGUCAACAAGGACGCUAGGGCCUGAAGUGAGGUGGAUUGUGAGAUCCCAUAUCAGUUGAGGAGGAGAACAAAACAUUUCUCCCAAGCAGAUGCGUUUUAAAAAUCUCGAGAGAAAGCUUGAAAGGCAAAGUAAAAAAGGAUAAUAUCUGCUAGUGAGCUUGGGCUAUUACAAAUCAUUAUGACACAGAAACGUUAAAGAGGUGAAAAAUCUAGUGUCAUCUUUUUUAAGUCGCUUUUGCAAGGGCUGAGAAUCAAAAAUUUACCUGCUUCUAAGAAAAUGAGGAUUCAUAAAGUAAUGUGCCCUCUAAUGAAAAAUCUAGUGAAAUGCAGGAUCAUCUCCAUUUUCUCAACCGUAAACAUUUUUUUGGGGGGGAGAAUCACCUUGGAGAGAGCAAAUCAAGAGAAAGUGGUGAUGGGUGAGUGAGACUGGCCAUGCUCCAAACAUACUAGCUGGCUUUGGUAGGCCCUCCCCAACAGUAUAGGAAUUCUAGAAUGACGAGUGUCUGAAUUUGGCUGGCAUUGUUGGGCUCAGAUUUGUAUGUGCCAUAAAACUUCACAUACUUUCUAUUUUUGCGCUGAAAACUUCCUGAUAUAAAUAAUUAUUAGUGUUGUUGGAUCUUACAUUAAAUUUAAAGGAUCCUGACGUUUUUAGGUGUGAUAUGGGUGGAGCAUGGACGAAACCGAACUGCUUUGGAAUUUCACGAACUGGGGGCACCCUUCAUCAGGCCGACUAGGUGAGUUUGUGCUUUGUCGAGCCUUUUUACCUUAUUUUCAACUCACACACUAGAUCUAGAUGAACACAAAGAAGAGAAGA